GUGUCAGUGUAGAAGAGGCUCGUGGUCAUUCUGCUCUCUCACACCCUGGCUGACGGAGCACACAGGUUUUCAUCUGACACUCUUUCAGCCUCUCACAUGGUCCUACACCGAUUGCACGCAACAGCACUAAAGUGGCUGAAUAAACAUCCAAAAUGAGCAAUCCCAAGAAGAGUAUUCUAAAGGAGAAGAGGAUCAGGUGCAUUAUCCUGCUGAAAGAGGCCAAUGCCAUCAGGGAAUACAAUUGCCAUGAAAGGGUGCACAUGGUCUGCAACAAUGAUUAGGUAGGUGGUAGGUGUCAAAGUAACAACCACAUGAAAGGCAGGACCCAAGGUUUCCUAGCAGAACAUUGCCCAAAGCAUCACACUGCCUUCACCAGCUUGCCUCCUUCCCGCAGUGCAGUGUGGUGCCAUGUGUUCUCCAGGUAAGUGAUGCACCUAGCCAUCCACAUGAUGUAAAAUAAAAUGUGAUUCAUCAAACCAGACCACCUUCUUCCUUUGCUCCGUGGUCCAGUUCUGAUGCUCAUGUGCCCACUGUAGGCACUUUCAAGACAGGCGUCAGCAUGGGCACCAUGACUGGUCUGCGGCUACGCAGCCCCAUAUGCAACAAACUGCAUUGCACUGUGUGUUCUGACACCUUUCUAUCAGUACCAGCAUUAACGUUUUUCAUCAUUUUGAGCUACUGUUGGAUCAGACCACAGGGGCCAGCCUUCGCUCCCCACAUGCAUCAGUAAGCCUUGGCCGCCCAUGACCGUGUCGCGGUUCACCAAUUUUCCUUCCUUGGACCACUUUUGAUAGGUCCUGACCACUGCAGACCGUGAACACCCCACAAGGGCUGCAGUUUUGGAGAUGUUCUGACCCAGUCGUCUAGCCAUCACAAUUUGGCCCUAGUCAAAGUCGCUCAGAUCCUUACACUUGCCCACUUUUCCUGCUUCUAACACAUCAACUUUGGGGACAGAAUGAGACAAAGAGUAUCAGUGUUAUUCACUUCACCUGUCAGUGGUCAUAACGUUAUGGCUGAUCAGUAUAUACAGUAUCUCAUAAAUGUGAGUACACCCCUCACAUUUUUGUAAAUAUUUGUAAAUAUCUUUUCAUGUGACAACACUGAAGAAAUGACACUUUGCAAAAAUGUAAAGUAGUGAGUGCACAGCUUGUAUAACAGUGUAAAUUUGCUGUCCCCUCAAAAUAACACAACACACAGCCAUUAAUGUCUAAACUGCUGGCAACAAAAGUGAGUACACCCCUAAGUGGUGGCCAACUACAAGAAACAUCUGACCUCUGUGAUUGCCAACAAGGGUUUUGCCACCAAGUACUAAGUCAUGUUUUGCAGAGGGGUUGAAUACUUAUUUCACUCACUAAAAUGCAAAUCAAUGUAUAUAUUUUUUUAAUAACGUGUUUUUCUGGAUUCUUUUGUUGUUAUUCUGUCUCUCACUGUUCAAAUAAACCUACUGACUGAUAAUUUCUUUGUCAGUGGUGAAACAUACAAAAUCAACAGGGGAUCAAAUAUUAUUUUCCCUCAC
Long non-coding RNA from Esox lucius (northern pike), 1516 nucleotides. The record is from Ensembl. Lineage: Eukaryota; Metazoa; Chordata; Actinopteri; Esociformes; Esocidae.